This 497-nucleotide ribosomal RNA is filed under the name uncultured bacterium. RNAcentral describes it as "partial 16S ribosomal RNA". It matches the Rfam family "Bacterial small subunit ribosomal RNA", at positions 28 to 507 of the family's 1533-position model. The record is from RNAcentral.
GGCGAACGCUAGCGGCGUGCCUAAUACAUGCAAGUUGAGCGCUGAAGGUUGGUACUUGUACCAACUGGAUGAGCAGCGAACGGGUGAGUAACGCGUGGGGAAUCUGCCUUUGAGCGGGGGACAACAUUUGGAAACGAAUGCUAAUACCGCAUAAAAACUUUAAACACAAGUUUUAAGUUUGAAAGAUGCAAUUGCAUCACUCAAAGAUGAUCCCGCGUUGUAUUAGCUAGUUGGUGAGGUAAAGGCUCACCAAGGCGAUGAUACAUAGCCGACCUGAGAGGGUGAUCGGCCACAUUGGGACUGAGACACGGCCCAAACUCCUACGGGAGGCAGCAGUAGGGAAUCUUCGGCAAUGGACGAAAGUCUGACCGAGCAACGCCGCGUGAGUGAAGAAGGUUUUCGGAUCGUAAAACUCUGUUGGUAGAGAAGAACGUUGGUGAGAGUGGAAAGCUCAUCAAGUGACGGUAACUACCCAGAAAGGGACGGCUAACUACGUG